GACGAACGCUGGCGGCGUGCCUAAUACAUGCAAGUUGAGCGAUGAAGAUUGGUGCUUGCACCAAUUUGAAGAGCAGCGAACGGGUGAGUAACGCGUGGGGAAUCUGCCUUUGAGCGGGGGACAACAUUUGGAAACGAAUGCUAAUACCGCAUAACAACUUUAAACAUAAGUUUUAAGUUUGAAAGAUGCAAUUGCAUCACUCAAAGAUGAUCCCGCGUUGUAUUAGCUAGUUGGUGAGGUAAAGGCUCACCAAGGCGAUGAUACAUAGCCGACCUGAGAGGGUGAUCGGCCACAUUGGGACUGAGGCACGGCCCAAACUCCUACGGGAGGCAGCAGUAGGGAAUCUUCGGCAAUGGACGAAAGUCUGACCGAGCAACGCCGCGUGAGUGAAGAAGGUUUUCGGAUCGUAAAACUCUGUUGGUAGAGAAGAACGUUGGUGAGAGUGGAAAGCUCAUCAAGUGACGGUAACUACCCAGAAAGGGACGGCUAACUACGU
Molecule: ribosomal RNA, 496 nt
Filed under: uncultured bacterium
Lineage: Bacteria
Description: partial 16S ribosomal RNA
Rfam family: Bacterial small subunit ribosomal RNA
Source: RNAcentral